UCCAAACCAUAGUUAGUUAAUUCGGAUUCGACAAAAAUUUGGUACGGAUAUAGUACGCAUAAAAUUUAUUUUCUAAUUUUUAAAUUCGUUGAAAAAUUCGGUUUAAAAAACGGAUACGGUAUAAAAUUAUAAGAUAUAAAAUAUAAGAUAAUUUAUAUUUAAAAAUAAAAACUAUAAGUUUUUAAUUCAUAUUUUUAAUAAUUCGUGAAUAACUCGGCUGGCCCAAAAAUUCAUGAAUAAUUUUCUUUUUUUGAAAAAAAAUCGUAAACGAACUGUUUAAUUUGAAUUUUCAAUAAUUCGUGAAUAAUUCACGAAUUAAGUAACUAGGGUCCAAACACUACAUCGUCACGUGACAUGCACGUGAAUCCACGGGAUUCGCAUGUCGCAUGCGGUCGCCCACGCAGAGCCUGCCGACCUACCCGAGGUGAUAAGCUCGACUGCGACGAGAAUGAGGUCACAACCCACGACCACAUUCCCUUAUCUUCUCUUAUCCCAGAGCUAGAUAACGAUGUUUUAAAACCCAGGUUGAUGUUGAUCCGACCUGGCGUGCCGGUCGAACCGUGAUCCAAUACGCUUUCUUCUUAUUAUUAUAUAUUUUAAUAAUUAAUUAAAAUUUUGCAACAUUUUUUUUUUAAAUAUGCAUUUUAAACAAAGAAGUAGAUCUAACAGCGAAAAACUUAUGAGUACAUAAGGGACUAUACUUAUAAGAGUAUAAUAGCCGGACUAUAUAUAUAUAUAGAACUAGGCUACUAUAUUAUUAAUAGCACCAAGUCAUUGGUGCUACCAGGUUUUUGGCCAUUGGAUUAAGAGAUGUGCGGUUAGGAUGAUGUGGGCCCCCUAGGGUUGAGUGGGUGGUUGGUUGAAUAGUAUGAUCUAACGGGUGAAAAUGAUCAAAAGGGUAGAUCUAACGACGGAAAACUUGGUAGCACCAAGUGCUUUAUGCUAUUAAUAGCAUAGUAGCCGGACUAUAUAUAUAUA
RNAcentral lists this long non-coding RNA (978 nucleotides) under Ananas comosus (pineapple). RNAcentral describes it as "long non-coding RNA (ACOM_LNC015631)". Lineage: Eukaryota; Viridiplantae; Streptophyta; Magnoliopsida; Poales; Bromeliaceae. The record is from RNAcentral.